CCUACGGGUGGCAGCAGUGGGGAAUAUUGCACAAUGGGGGAAACCCUGAUGCAGCGACGCCGCGUGAGUGAGGAAGUAUUUCGGUAUGUAAAGCUCUAUCAGCAGGGAAGAAAAUGACGGUACCUGAGUAAGAAGCCCCGGCUAACGACGUGCCAGCAGCCGCGGUAAUACGUAGGGGGCAAGCGUUACCCGGAUUUACUGGGUGUAAAGGGAGCGUAGACGGCAGUGCAAGUCUGGAGUGAAAGGCGGGGGCUCAACCCCCGGACUGCUCUGGAAACUGUACGGCUGGAGUGCAGGAGAGGUAGGUGGAAUUCCUAGUGUAGCGGUGAAAUGCGUAGAUAUUAGGAGGAACACCAGUGGCGAAGGCGGCUUACUGGACUGUAACUGACGUUGAGGCUCGAAAGCGUGGGGAGCAAACAGGAUUAGAUACCCCAGUAGUC
Molecule: ribosomal RNA, 440 nt
Filed under: uncultured bacterium
Lineage: Bacteria
Description: partial 16S ribosomal RNA
Rfam family: Bacterial small subunit ribosomal RNA
Source: RNAcentral